UACGAAGGGGGCUAGCGUUGUUCGGAAUUACUGGGCGUAAAGCGCGCGCAGGCGGCUUGGUAAGUUGGGGGUGAAAUCCCUGGGCUCAACCCAGGAAUGGCCUUCAAGACUGCUUGGCUGGAGGACGAGAGAGGUGAGUGGAAUUCCCAGUGUAGAGGUGAAAUUCGUAGAUAUUGGGAAGAACACCGGUGGCGAAGGCGGCGAGCUGGCCUGUACCUGACGCUGAGGCGCGACAGCGUGGGGAGCAAACAGG
RNAcentral lists this ribosomal RNA (253 nucleotides) under uncultured bacterium. RNAcentral describes it as "partial 16S ribosomal RNA". It matches the Rfam family "Bacterial small subunit ribosomal RNA", at positions 524 to 776 of the family's 1533-position model. The record is from RNAcentral.